RNAcentral lists this ribosomal RNA (409 nucleotides) under uncultured Campylobacterota bacterium. Its description in RNAcentral is "bacterial SSU rRNA". It matches the Rfam family "Bacterial small subunit ribosomal RNA", at positions 509 to 916 of the family's 1533-position model. Lineage: Bacteria; Pseudomonadati; Campylobacterota. The record is from RNAcentral.
CAGCAGCCGCCGUAAUACGGAGGGUGCAAGCGUUACUCGGAAUCACUGGGCGUAAAGAGCGUGUAGGCGGGUAGUUAAGUCAGAAGUGAAAUCCAAUAGCUCAACUAUUGAACUGCUUUUGAAACUGAUUACCUAGAAUAUGGGAGAGGUAGAUGGAAUUUCUGGUGUAGGGGUAAAAUCCGUAGAGAUCAGAAGGAAUACCGAUUGCGAAGGCGAUCUACUGGAACAUUAUUGACGCUGAGACGCGAAAGCGUGGGGAGCAAACAGGAUUAGAUACCCUGGUAGUCCACGCCCUAAACGAUGUACACUAGUUGUUGUGAGGCUCGACCUUGCAGUAAUGCAGCUAACGCUUUAAGUGUACCGCCUGGGGAGUACGGUCGCAAGAUUAAAACUCAAAGGAAAUUGACGG